UCCGGUUUGUCACCGGCAGUCUGGCGUGAGUCCCCAACUAAAUGCUGGCAACACGCCACGGGGGUUGCGCUCGUUGCGGGACUUAACCCAACAUCUCACGACACGAGCUGACGACAACCAUGCACCACCUGUGUACGAGUGUCCAAAGAGAACCCCAUCUCUGGGGCGUUCUCGUACAUGUCAAGCCCUGGUAAGGUUCUUCGCGUUGCAUCGAAUUAAACCACAUGCUCCGCUGCUUGUGCGGGCCCCCGUCAAUUCCUUUGAGUUUUAGCCUUGCGGCCGUACUCCCCAGGCGGGGUGCUUAAUGCGUUAGCUGCGGCACGGGAGGAGUCGACACCGCCCACACCUAGUUCCCAUCGUUUACGGCGUGGACUAC
Molecule: unclassified non-coding RNA, 376 nt
Filed under: uncultured Actinomycetes bacterium
Lineage: Bacteria; Bacillati; Actinomycetota; Actinomycetes
Description: uncultured actinobacterium contains 16S-23S intergenic spacer region
Source: RNAcentral